RNAcentral lists this ribosomal RNA (502 nucleotides) under uncultured bacterium. RNAcentral describes it as "partial 16S ribosomal RNA". It matches the Rfam family "Bacterial small subunit ribosomal RNA", at positions 30 to 523 of the family's 1533-position model. The record is from RNAcentral.
AUUGAACGCUGGCGGCAGGCCUAACACAUGCAAGUCGAACGGUAGCACAGAGAGCUUGCUCUCGGGUGACGAGUGACGGACGGGUGAGUAAUGUCUGGGAAACUGCCCGAUGGAGGGGGAUAACUACUGGAAACGGUAGCUAAUACCGCAUAACGUCGCAAGACCAAAGUGGGGGACCUUCGGGCCUCACACCAUCGGAUGUGCCCAGAUGGGAUUAGCUAGUAGGUGGGGUAAUGGCUCACCUAGGCGACGAUCCUAGCUGGUCUGAGAGGAGGACCAGCCACACUGGAAAUAAGACACGGUCCAGACUCCUACGGGAGGCAGCAGUGGGGAAUAUUGCACAAUGGGCGCAAGCCUGAUGCAGCCAUGCCGCGUGUAUGAAGAAGGCAUUCGGGUUGUAAGUACUUUCAGCGGGGAGGAAGGCGGUGAAGUCAAUAACUUCACCGAUUGACGUUACCCGCAGAAGAAGCACCGGCUAACUCCGUGCCAGCCGCCGCCGUAA